GAGUAGCACCUAUUUAUAGUCAAACGUUGGUGAGGUUCACAGGGCCAAAAAGCUUUUGCACAAACGAAGGUGGAAGAGAAAAGGGGAAAGAGCUUACAAGAUGGUUGUGCCACCAGCCUCGUUGUUCCUGCCAUUCCAUCUUCUUCUUCCUUCAAAUAUUCUUCAUCUUCUUCUUCUUCCGUAACUUUGGAAGAAUGCCGCCCUCUGGAUUGAUACAUCAGUCAAGGCAGCCAUCAUUGACAUUUGUUACCAUCUAGGACCAUUUAUGACUCAACUAUUUUCUCUAUGAACCACUUUUAGCAGG
This 304-nucleotide long non-coding RNA is filed under the name Linum usitatissimum (flax). RNAcentral's name for it is "long non-coding RNA (LUSI_LNC006807)". The record is from RNAcentral. Lineage: Eukaryota; Viridiplantae; Streptophyta; Magnoliopsida; Malpighiales; Linaceae.